RNAcentral lists this small nuclear RNA (181 nucleotides) under Oncorhynchus tshawytscha (Chinook salmon). RNAcentral's name for it is "U2 spliceosomal RNA". It matches the Rfam family "U2 spliceosomal RNA". From Rfam's summary of the family: U2 is a small nuclear RNA (snRNA) component of the spliceosome (involved in pre-mRNA splicing). Complementary binding between U2 snRNA (in an area lying towards the 5' end but 3' to hairpin I) and the branchpoint sequence (BPS) of the intron results the bulging out of an unpaired adenosine, on the BPS, which initiates a nucleophilic attack at the intronic 5' splice site, thus starting the first of two transesterification reactions that mediate splicing. Lineage: Eukaryota; Metazoa; Chordata; Actinopteri; Salmoniformes; Salmonidae. The record is from Rfam by way of RNAcentral.
AUAAAUUAUUAUUUUUCAAAAAAAAAAAUCUGUUCUUAUCAGUUUAAUAUCUGAUACGUCCCCCAURGGGGGACUACAUAUUAAAUGGAUUUUUUGAACAGGGAGUCGGAAAUAGGGCUUGCUCCGUCCGCUCCACGCAUCGACCCGGUAUUGCAGUACCUCCGGGAACGGUGCAACACUU